This 497-nucleotide ribosomal RNA is filed under the name uncultured bacterium. Its description in RNAcentral is "partial 16S ribosomal RNA". It matches the Rfam family "Bacterial small subunit ribosomal RNA", at positions 29 to 507 of the family's 1533-position model. The record is from RNAcentral.
AAUGAACGCUGGCGGCGUGCCUAAUACAUGCAAGUCGAGCGAACGGACGAUAAGCUUGCGCCUUUGACGUUGGCGGCUGACGGGCGGGUAACGCGUACAUCACCUACCUCUAUUCCUGGGAGGACUACGGGAAACCGGAGCUAAUACCAGCUCAUAUUUCCUACCGCUUGGUUCGAUAGUUAAUGGGGGCUUUGCUAUCUGUUUUAGAUGGUCCUGCGCCGUAUUAGCUAGUUGGUAAGGUAACGGCUUACCAAGGCAACGAUACGUAGCCGAGCUGAGAGGGUGAUCGGCAACACUGGAACUGAGACACGGUCCAGACUCCUACGGGAGGCAGCAGUAGGGAAUCUUGAGCAAUGGGCGAAAGCCUGACGGAGCAAUACCGCGUGAGUGAAGAAGGCCUUCGGAUCGUAAAACUCUUUUAUUAGGGAAGAACAAAAGUGUAAGUAAAUGCGCCCGUCCUGACGGUACCUAAUCAGAAAGCAACGGCUAACUACGUG